Molecule: ribosomal RNA, 521 nt
Filed under: uncultured organism
Description: SSU rRNA
Rfam family: Bacterial small subunit ribosomal RNA
Source: RNAcentral
UGACGGGGGCCCGCACAAGCGGUGGAGUAUGUGGUUUAAUUUGACGCAACGCGAAGAACCUUACCAGGUCUUGACAUUGAUGGACAGAACUAGAGAUAGUUCCUCUUCUUCGGAAGCCAGAAAACAGGUGGUGCACGGUUGUCGUCAGCUCGUGUCGUGAGAUGUUGGGUUAAGUCCCGCAACGAGCGCAACCCCUAUCUUAUGUUGCCAGCACUUUGGGUGGGAACUCAUGAGAGACUGCCGCAGACAAUGCGGAGGAAGGCGGGGAUGACGUCAAAUCAUCAUGCCCCUUAUGACCUGGGCUACACACGUACUACAAUGGGAGUUAAUAGACGGAAGCAAUACCGCGAGGUGGAGCAAACCCGAGAAACACUCUCUCAGUUCGGAUCGUAGGCUGCAACUCGCCUACGUGAAGUCGGAAUCGCUAGUAAUCGCAGGUCAGCAUACUGCGGUGAAUACGUUCCCGGGCCUUGUACACACCGCCCGUCAGCACUCACCGCCCGUCUGCACUCACCGCCCGU